UAGGGAAUCUUCCACAAUGGACGCAAGUCUGAUGGAGCAACGCCGCGUGAGUGAAGAAGGUUUUCGGACCGUAAAGCUCUGUUGUUGGUGAAGAAGGAUAGAGGUAGUAACUGGCCUUUAUUUGACGGUAAUCAACCAGAAAGUCACGGCUAACUACGUGCCAGCAGCCGCGGUAAUCGUAGGUGGCAAGCGUUGUCCGGAUUUAUUGGGCGUAAAGCGAGCGCAGGCGGAAGAAUAAGUCUGAUGUGAAAGCCCUCGGCUUAACCGAGGAAUUGCAUCGGAAACUGUUUUCUUGAGUGCAGAAGAGGAGAGUAGAACUCCAUGUGUAGCGGUGGAAUGCGUAGAUAUAUGGAAGAAUACCAGUGGCGAAGGCGGCUCUCUGGUCUGCAACUGACGCUGAGGCUCGAAAGCAUGGGUAGCGAACAGGAUUAGAUACCCUGGUAGUCCAUGCCGUAAACGAUGAGUGCUAAGUGUUGGGAGGCUUCCGCCUCUCAGUGCUGCAGCUAACGCAUUAAGCACUCCGCCUGGGGGAGUACGACCGC
This 542-nucleotide ribosomal RNA is filed under the name uncultured bacterium. RNAcentral's name for it is "partial 16S ribosomal RNA". It matches the Rfam family "Bacterial small subunit ribosomal RNA", at positions 355 to 889 of the family's 1533-position model. The record is from RNAcentral.